RNAcentral lists this transfer RNA (57 nucleotides) under Rhodobacter sp. Its description in RNAcentral is "tRNA-Val". It matches the Rfam family "tRNA", at positions 9 to 63 of the family's 71-position model. Rfam says of the family: Transfer RNA (tRNA) molecules are approximately 80 nucleotides in length. Their secondary structure includes four short double-helical elements and three loops (D, anti-codon, and T loops). Lineage: Bacteria; Pseudomonadati; Pseudomonadota; Alphaproteobacteria; Rhodobacterales. The record is from RNAcentral.
AGCUCAGCGGUAGAGCACUACGUUGACAUCGUAGGGGUCACUGGUUCGAUCCCAGUA